AGUGAACGCUGGCGGUAGGCCUAACACAUGCAAGUCGAACGGCAGCACAGGAGAGCUUGCUCUCUGGGUGGCGAGUGGCGGACGGGUGAGGAAUACAUCGGAAUCUACUCUGUCGUGGGGGAUAACGUAGGGAAACUUACGCUAAUACCGCAUACGACCCACGGGUGAAAGCAGGGGAUCUUCGGACCUUGCGCGAUUGAAUGAGCCGAUGGCGGAUUAGCUAGUUGGCGGGGUAAAGGCCCACCAAGGCGACGAUCCGUAGCUGGUCUGAGAGGAUGAUCAGCCGCACUGGAACUGAGACACGGUCCAGACUCCUACGGGAGGCAGCAGUGGGGAAUAUUGGACAAUGGGCGCAAGCCUGAUCCAGCCAUACCGCGUGGGUGAAGAAGGCCUUCGGGUUGUAAAGCCCUUUUGUUGGGAAAGAAAUCCAGCUGGCUAAUACCCGGUUGGGAUGACGGUACCCAAAGAAUAAGCACCGGCUAACUUCGUGCCAGCAGCCGCCGCGG
This 506-nucleotide ribosomal RNA is filed under the name uncultured bacterium. RNAcentral's name for it is "partial 16S ribosomal RNA". It matches the Rfam family "Bacterial small subunit ribosomal RNA", at positions 29 to 523 of the family's 1533-position model. The record is from RNAcentral.